UUUCAUUCAAAGUGCUGUUAGUUAACUCAAUAAAUUGAUUUUGACGAUAUUUUUACUUUUUCUACAAGGGCAAAAUGAUAAACUUAAUAUAUUCUCGAAUAAAUAUAAUAAAAAUAAUUGAAAAACAAAAACAAAGUUGAGUCCCGCCCAUUGCCAACUACUGUCACCCGAUGACCAAACGAUGCCCUAUCGAAAUAAUCGUUGCCAUUGCCAGCACCAUCAUCACCAUCUUACACUGCCAAUUGUCGGUGCAAUUAUUUCAAAAGAAAACGCAGCUUCUUCCCACUCUAGUGCCAACCCCAAAACCAAACAAGGAAAGCCAGCCACUGUCGCCAACCUCCAACGGUCGUUGAAGCAAAAACCAAAAAUCAACAGUUGCCACAGUUUCUGCAUGACGAUUUCCUUUUUGGUUUAAAAUUCUUGAAUUGGUUCAGUACCAAAUCUUUCGUUUCCUCCAACACGGUAUUUUAACUACGCUGUAAGUCUGGCAGGCCGUGAAGAAAGCGAUUGUCAGCAAUGGUUCUGGCCAUGGAGGGACCAAAUUUUUGUCCUGCACAAUGACUCAGUAAAAAUUCUAAAGAGAAAAUUUACUUGUAGUGGAAAUAUCUCGAUUUUUGGAUUCUUA
RNAcentral lists this long non-coding RNA (625 nucleotides) under Olea europaea subsp. europaea. The record is from RNAcentral. Lineage: Eukaryota; Viridiplantae; Streptophyta; Magnoliopsida; Lamiales; Oleaceae.